RNAcentral lists this ribosomal RNA (429 nucleotides) under Chloroflexota bacterium. Its description in RNAcentral is "Chloroflexi bacterium partial 16S ribosomal RNA". It matches the Rfam family "Bacterial small subunit ribosomal RNA", at positions 355 to 776 of the family's 1533-position model. Lineage: Bacteria; Bacillati; Chloroflexota. The record is from RNAcentral.
UGGGGAAUAUUGCACAAUGGGCGCAAGCCUGAUGCAGCCAUGCCGCGUGUAUGAAGAAGGCCUUCGGGUUGUAAAGUACUUUCAGCGGGGAGGAAGGGAGUAAAGUUAAUACCUUUGCCCAUUGACGUUACCCGCAGAAGAAGCACCGGCUAACUCCGUGCCAGCAGCCGCGGUAAUACGGAGGGUGCAAGCGUUAAUCGGAAUUACUGGGCGUAAAGCGCACGCAGGCGGUUUGUUAAGUCAGAUGUGAAAUCCCCGGGCUCAACCUGGGAACUGCAUCUGAUACUGGCAAGCUUGAGUCUCGUAGAGGGGGGUAGAAUUCCAGGUGUAGCGGUGAAAUGCGUAGAGAUCUGGAGGAAUACCGGUGGCGAAGGCGGCCCCCUGGACGGAGACUGACGCUCAGGUGCGAAAGCGUGGGGAGCAAACAGG